RNAcentral lists this ribosomal RNA (495 nucleotides) under uncultured bacterium. RNAcentral describes it as "partial 16S ribosomal RNA". It matches the Rfam family "Bacterial small subunit ribosomal RNA", at positions 28 to 505 of the family's 1533-position model. The record is from RNAcentral.
GAUGAACGCUGGCGGCGUGCCUAAUACAUGCAAGUCGAGCGAACGGACGAGAAGCUUGCUUCUCUGAUGUUAGCGGCGGACGGGUGAGUAACACGUGGAUAACCUACCUAUAAGACUGGGAUAACUUCGGGAAACCGGAGCUAAUACCGGAUAAUAUUUUGAACCGCAUGGUUCAAAAGUGAAAGACGGUCUUGCUGUCACUUAUAGAUGGAUCCGCGCUGCAUUAGCUAGUUGGUAAGGUAACGGCUUACCAAGGCAACGAUGCAUAGCCGACCUGAGAGGGUGAUCGGCCACACUGGAACUGAGACACGGUCCAGACUCCUACGGGAGGCAGCAGUAGGGAAUCUUCCGCAAUGGGCGAAAGCCUGACGGAGCAACGCCGCGUGAGUGAUGAAGGUCUUCGGAUCGUAAAACUCUGUUAUUAGGGAAGAACAUAUGUGUAAGUAACUGUGCACAUCUUGACGGUACCUAAUCAGAAAGCCACGGCUAACUAAG